AAAAUAGGACAGGUGGGUGGAAAUAGCAGCACUCUUUAUAAUUUGAAUUGUUCAAAUUCUUGGUCCUUGCUCAAAUAUAACCCAUGCAAAAUUUAUCCAAAUCCGAAAUUGUUUAGCAAUGUUGAUGCUCUUUUUGGGAGGGUCAACUUAGGUAAAGGAGUAUGGGAUCUUCAGCAGGGGAGAAGGUGUGGACCUUCAGUAUUUGGAUAUCAUGCAGAAGUCAAUGAGGAAGAAGCAGUCGUCAAGCUCCG
Molecule: long non-coding RNA, 251 nt
Filed under: Prunus persica (peach)
Lineage: Eukaryota; Viridiplantae; Streptophyta; Magnoliopsida; Rosales; Rosaceae
Description: long non-coding RNA (PPER_LNC000587)
Source: RNAcentral